GAUGAACGCUGGCGGCGUGCUUAACACAUGCAAGUCGAACGAUGAAGCCGGAGCUUGCUCUGGUGGAUUAGUGGCGAACGGGUGAGUAACACGUGAGUAACCUGCCCUUGACUCUGGGAUAAGCGCUGGAAACGGCGUCUAAUACCGGAUACGAGCUUCCACCGCAUGGUGAGUUGCUGGAAAGAAUUUCGGUCAAGGAUGGACUCGCGGCCUAUCAGCUUGUUGGUGAGGUAACGGCUCACCAAGGCGACGACGGGUAGCCGGCCUGAGAGGGUGACCGGCCACACUGGGACUGAGACACGGCCCAGACUCCUACGGGAGGCAGCAGUGGGGAAUAUUGCACAAUGGGCGCAAGCCUGAUGCAGCAACGCCGCGUGAGGGACGAAGGCCUUCGGGUCGUAAACCUCUUUUAGCAGGGAAGAAGCGAAGGUGACGGUACCUGCAGAAAAAGCACCGGCUAACUACGUGCCAGCAGCCGCGGUAA
RNAcentral lists this ribosomal RNA (484 nucleotides) under uncultured bacterium. Its description in RNAcentral is "partial 16S ribosomal RNA". It matches the Rfam family "Bacterial small subunit ribosomal RNA", at positions 28 to 523 of the family's 1533-position model. The record is from RNAcentral.